UAAGAAACCAUCGUUACUUCAACGAGCGUUCAUUAAUGAUAGACUUUAAUGGGGUCGAGAAAGAGCCACAGGGAUUCGCUGAGGAAUUUUUAACUGAAAGACCUCUUUCAGGGAUUCUACUCAAAGCAAGGGUCGUAAAAACUUACAAAUAAGGAGCGGAAAAAGCCUGUAUAGCUUUGGCUUGUUUGAACCUUAAAUAUAAAAAGUUUGGCUGCACUGAUGCAUUAUAAAGUAUACAUGAAACGAUGACAGAUUUAGAAGAUGCCGAACAGUAAUUAAAACAAAAAAAGCAGUAAAUAAUGUAAGUCUCGAAUGUAACAGUAAUUUUUUGUUUAAUUUUGUUUUAGCUUAUCAUUCAUUGAAGUUCAUAUAAUGGUAUUUAUGUGAUAUAGAGAUAGAGGAUAGUCAAAUAGUUUCAGGCUAUUUUUAUCAAAUAGUCACUAAUGAAGAAGCAUAUUAAGAAUAUAAAAAGUUUUUUUUUCCCAACAAACUUAAGGGCAAGAGAGAAACGAGUCGAGCAAUGAGGAUAAUACCGUUACCCUGAAGUCUUGACUUGGACUUUCACCGCUCAUGGAAAGGAGUACGUUGGUUCGUGUCGACAUUGGCCCGGGGUGCAUUCAAGUCCCACUACAAUUAAGCAUGACAACUUCCCCAAGAAAACAGAAUAUUCCAUGCACGAAAAGUGUGGAUAAAUGAGUGAGUGGGUAUAUGUAGCAAGCUGCUUUGGUGAAUCCUCGGAUGUGCUCGCGAGAGAGCCAGCGCGUCAUAUCCACGAUUUGUCCGAGGGCACGGGGUGUGACGGGGACAAGAAGAGGAUGGUAAAGGCAAUGCACUCCAAGUGAACAUCGCUUGUGGCGGGUCACUCGAAUAGGGCGCGUCUCAGUCAAUGAGCAUCACAUUUUUUACCCGACGACUGAUGGCGAAUUGAGAACGACUGAAGAGUCCUCAUGCUUUAAAUAUAUAUUAAUGGCAGAACAAUUUAAAUACAGGUGCAUUAAUAAAUACAAAUAGCAUUGGACACAGGUGUUGUUUAGAGGACAUCCAACAUUUAUACAUAUGGGAUGAAACAGAGUGAAUGUAGAUUACAUUUCUUUUCUGUCUUCUUUAGUCUCGACUUUAUGUCUCAGUCUUACGUCUUUUAUCUUGCUUACUUGACUCUCCAUCACGUGCUUACAUGCGUGCGUAUACGCGUGGGGUCGUUGAACGAGCAGGGGUAUGUGUCGGAGCACACAGCUAAGAGAAGACGAGUCUCCCGAGUCAACCCACUUUACGCCACUGCGAUCCUUCACUGAUUGAAAGAGAAAAGAUGACAAAUGAUGCUAAGGAUGAUUAGAUGGUAUACAAUUAUAAUGAUCUUGGGUAUAACCAUUGUUUGGGUAUCAUUUGAAACAACAGAUUUUGGGAUUAUUGUUAAAUAGAAUUGGACAGUUGUAAAUGUUUCCUGAUGCGCUACU
This is a long non-coding RNA of Chelonus insularis, 1454 nucleotides long. RefSeq lists it as uncharacterized. Lineage: Eukaryota; Metazoa; Arthropoda; Insecta; Hymenoptera; Braconidae. The record is from RefSeq and is a predicted model, not a curated record. The transcript has 5 exons.